Molecule: long non-coding RNA, 675 nt
Organism: Bos taurus (domestic cattle)
Lineage: Eukaryota; Metazoa; Chordata; Mammalia; Artiodactyla; Bovidae
Source: Ensembl
GUAAGACAGACUGUCUCCUUUAUCUAGCGGAUUUGGUGGAGGCCAAGUUAUAGUAGCAGAUGAGUCAUACAAAGCUGGUGAAAACUGGUGUUUCAGGAAGACAAAUUUAGUAAAAAUGGGCACGCAGGGGGGAAAUUCUGUGGAACACCAUCCUAUAAUGCCAGUAAGGGGCAGAUUCUUAAAAGUGCCACAUCAGGUUGGGCCACUUUGCCUGGACUGAACUUCUUUGCUGAUUUCGUCACAUUUCAAUGGUUAUUUCAAUUGUCCCGUGCCUAUUUCCCUUCCCUAACUCCCGCAGUGUUAUGUACCUACUCUUGGAAGCUCUCUAAUUCAUUGCUUCUAUUAGAGCACAUACCACGGUACACAGUACUUUAAAAGGAAGAAAAAUUUAUAAGACCUUUGACUGACAACCUACAAAAGCAAAAGCUGAGUAAGGAUACCAACACUUGAAUCCAAGGAUAAUGGAAAAAUAACAUCUGACUGGAAUAAAUGGAUCACAUAUAUAAGCCAUGCUACCAUGCUACUUAUGUGAACUGAAAUACGGAUAAGGAAGCAUAUCUGGUUCUAAUUUCUGAACUCAACACCAGAUGUUUUCAAGAUGGUGAGACUCUAAAGAAUGGAACUUACAAGGAACGGCCCUGCUCUGUGGGUGGAGAAAGGGAAGAAAUGACAUAA